This 512-nucleotide long non-coding RNA is filed under the name Chrysemys picta bellii (western painted turtle). RNAcentral's name for it is "lncRNA (ENSCPBG00000017558.1)". Lineage: Eukaryota; Metazoa; Chordata; Testudines; Emydidae. The record is from RNAcentral.
GUAGUCUAAUUAAACAGAAGGUGAAAUGGCCGGAGAGGUGGUGACUCCACAUGUUGCCGUAUGGACUCUUACCGCCCUGGUUAGACGGCUCUAAUAAACACAGGGAGCUGCUUUGGCUCAUGUCCUUCCCUGGGUUAUUGAACUGAUGCUGCAGAUGGUGUGGGGUGGCACAUAGACAGAAAAGCUGUUCUGAUGGGAAUGUUGCUUGUUUGGUCCCGCAGCUGAACCACCUGGUGACGGAGCAGCUGGUAAAGUGCGGCGUCCCAACGGUGGGCAUUUCGCCCUUUGGCGUCUGGAGGACAGCAGGCAAGAAAGUCAGCCAGGCUGGCAUUUCUGCCAUAAGGGAUGCCUUGGAUGCUGGCUACAUCCCGGUCAUGCAUGGGGACUGUGCUCUGGACUCUGAACAGCACUGCUGUAUCUUAUCAGGGGAUGCUAUCAUCGAGGUUCUGUCCAGGGAAUUCUCCCCCCAGCGAGUGGUUUUCUUGACCGAUGUCAGUGGAAUCUAUGACCGU